RNAcentral lists this non-coding RNA (106 nucleotides) under Anaerobacillus arseniciselenatis. Its description in RNAcentral is "SAM-I sequence". It matches the Rfam family "SAM riboswitch aptamer (S box leader)". Rfam says of the family: The SAM riboswitch is found upstream of a number of genes which code for proteins involved in methionine or cysteine biosynthesis in Gram-positive bacteria. The SAM riboswitch acts at the level of transcription termination control. The record is from Rfam by way of RNAcentral. Lineage: Bacteria; Bacillati; Bacillota; Bacilli; Caryophanales; Bacillaceae.
UUCUUAUCGAGAGAGAUGGAGGGACGUGGCCCUAUGAAAUCUCAGCAACCAGCCGAAAGGUCAGGUGCUAAAUCCAUCAAGCUGUAUGAAGUUUGAAAGAUAAGAA